Unclassified non-coding RNA from Anser brachyrhynchus (Pink-footed goose), 182 nucleotides. The record is from Ensembl. Lineage: Eukaryota; Metazoa; Chordata; Aves; Anseriformes; Anatidae.
AUCAGAGCCCUGGAAAAUGAAUUCCUCUCCUUACCCACAAAACCAGUACAGCACAAGCAGAGGGUGUGUGAGCUUCCCCACUCCACCCCAUCCUUGUGUCUCAUCCAUGACCUAGAGGGGCAACCUCUAGAUAGGCAUAAGUGGGUGGCUCAGUCUCUGUACUUAUUUAAUCCUUGGCCAAC